RNAcentral lists this ribosomal RNA (466 nucleotides) under uncultured bacterium. RNAcentral describes it as "bacterial SSU rRNA". It matches the Rfam family "Bacterial small subunit ribosomal RNA", at positions 328 to 792 of the family's 1533-position model. The record is from RNAcentral.
CAGCCAGACUCCUACGGGAGGCAGCAGUGAGGAAUAUUGGUCAAUGGGCGAGAGCCUGAACCAGCCAAGUCGCGUGAGGGAAGACGGUCCUAUGGAUUGUAAACCUCUUUUGCCGGGGAGCAAAAAGCGGUACGUGUACCGCAUCGAGAGUACCCGGAGAAAAAGCAUCGGCUAACUCCGUGCCGGCAGCCGCGGUAAUACGGAGGAUGCGAGCGUUAUCCGGAUUUAUUGGGUUUAAAGGGUGCGUAGGCGGGACCUUAAGUCAGCGGUAAAAUUGCGGUGCUCAACGCCGUAGAGCCGUUGAAACUGGGGUUCUUGAGUGAGCGAGAAGUAUGCGGAAUGCGUGGUGUAGCGGUGAAAUGCGUAGAUAUCACGCAGAACCCCGAUUGCGAAGGCAGCAUACCGGCGCUCAACUGACGCUGAGGCACGAAAGUGCGGGUAUCGAACAGGAUUAGAUACCCCAGUA